Molecule: ribosomal RNA, 259 nt
Filed under: uncultured bacterium
Lineage: Bacteria
Description: partial 16S ribosomal RNA
Rfam family: Bacterial small subunit ribosomal RNA
Source: RNAcentral
UACGUAGGGGGCGAGCGUUGUCCGGAUUUAUUGGGCGUAAAGAGCUCGGUAGGCGGUUUGGUAAGUCGGGUGUGAAAUCUUCCACGCUCAACGUGGAGGGGCCACUCGAUAACUGCCAUGACUCGAGUCCGGUAGAGGAGUGGUGGAAUUCCCGGUGUAGCGGUGAAAUGCGCAGAUAUCGGGAAGGAACACCCGUAGCGAAGGCGGCACUCUGGGCCGGAACUGACGCUGAGGAGCGAAAGCGUGGGGAGCAAACAGG